CGAACGGGUGCGUAAUACAUAAGAAUCUGCUUUAGAGAUCGAGAUAAUUAAUAUUAGAUUUAGAUUUAGUAUUAAAAAUAUCGAAUGAAUAGGCUUAUAUAAGUCGCUUUAAAAUGAGCUUAUGCAAGAUUAGGUAGUUGGUUAGGUAAAAGCUGACCAAGCCCAAGAUCUUUAGUUGGUCUGAGAGGAUGAUCAGCCACACUGGAACUGAGAUAAGGUCCAGGCUCUUAGCCAGCAGUGUGGAAUCUUGGACAAUGGGCGAAAGCUUGAUCCAGUAAUAUUGCGUGAACGAGGAAAGCAAAAAAGAUUCAUAAACACACGCAAGUGUGCGUAUGGAUUGGCUGUAAAGUUAUUUCGGCUAAUGAAGAUAAUGACAUUAAUUAGAGAAGAAGCUCCGGCUAAUUUCGUGCCAGCAGCCGCGGUAAUACGAAAGGAGUAAGCGUUAUCCUAAAUGAUUGGGCGUAAAGUGUUUGUAGGCGGUAUUUUCUGUUAUAUGUAAAAAAUUAGGAUAAUCUCUUAUUGAUGCGUAUAAUACUUUAAUACUUGAGUAUAAUUGGGAAUAACAGAAUUUUAUAGGGAAGAGUAAAAUCUAUAGAUCUAUGAAGGAAUGCCAGAGGCGAAGGCGGUUAUUUGGGUUAUUACUGACGUUGAGGAACGAAAGCAUGGGGAGCAAACAGGGUUAGAUAUUCUGGUAGUCCAU
This 700-nucleotide ribosomal RNA is filed under the name uncultured bacterium. Its description in RNAcentral is "bacterial SSU rRNA". It matches the Rfam family "Bacterial small subunit ribosomal RNA", at positions 99 to 798 of the family's 1533-position model. The record is from RNAcentral.